This 136-nucleotide unclassified non-coding RNA is filed under the name Vibrio nigripulchritudo AM115. RNAcentral's name for it is "yybP-ykoY". The record is from RNAcentral. Lineage: Bacteria; Pseudomonadati; Pseudomonadota; Gammaproteobacteria; Vibrionales; Vibrionaceae. RNAcentral also lists the same sequence under 9 other names.
UCCGCCUGUAUUGGGGAGUAGUCUACUAAGAACUCUUAGUUUGUAUGUCGUCAUCCCGUUAAGCGUUCGCUUUUCCGGCAUACAAAGGUAUAAGCCCUUAACCAGCUUUCACUCUGACGAGACCAACGCAUUCAAG